RNAcentral lists this long non-coding RNA (534 nucleotides) under Populus trichocarpa (black cottonwood). RNAcentral describes it as "long non-coding RNA (PTRI_LNC002361)". Lineage: Eukaryota; Viridiplantae; Streptophyta; Magnoliopsida; Malpighiales; Salicaceae. The record is from RNAcentral.
AAAAACACAGGUCAUUUCAUGCCUCACCCACAUUUUUUGGCAUUACAAGACCAUCUAACUCCCACUUGGCAAAACCAGACAAUUUCCUGGUGUCUUUUACUCCUGAUCACACUAAUUCGUUUGGACAGGAAACAUAAAUGAAGUACCUACAAAAAUGCAAAAGUUUAUGAGCACACAUAGUUGGGCCUUUUACAGCCUUUGAUUCUCAAGACAGAAGCCUCUCUAUCUUGGAGCUUUUUCAACAAAGAUUACGUUAGAAGCAAAUUUGCUUUGAAUCAAUUUUACACAUCACAAAACAAUCUUGUAAAGAAACACAGAACCGUAUACGAUUCCGACAACGAAUCAUGAAGAGAAUACUACAAUCUGGAAUGCCUUGAAUGUGCUAUUGGCCUUGUCAGGACGUCUUAGAACAAGGACAACUUGAUCUUUGACAACUAGAACAAAAGAACAUGUUAGUUUUCAAUGACUGGGAGCAGCAAUGAGCAAGAAAAAUGAAAUAAACCAUUUUGUAACGCCAAUACUAAUUAUUGGAUA